CAAGAGAUAGUUUAUAAAAAUAUUAGUUUUGGAUACUAAAGAUAAUAGUGAUAUUUCUUUA
This 61-nucleotide transfer RNA is filed under the name Mecistocephalus marmoratus. RNAcentral's name for it is "tRNA-Pro". Lineage: Eukaryota; Metazoa; Arthropoda; Chilopoda; Geophilomorpha; Mecistocephalidae. The record is from RNAcentral.